This is a small nuclear RNA of Rhincodon typus (whale shark), 107 nucleotides long. Lineage: Eukaryota; Metazoa; Chordata; Chondrichthyes; Orectolobiformes; Rhincodontidae. The record is from RefSeq and is a predicted model, not a curated record.
GUGCUCGUUUCGGCAGCAGAUAUACUAAAAUUGGAAUGAUACAGAGAACAUUAUCAUGCCCCCUGCGUAAGGAUGACACAAACAUUCAUGAAGUGUUCCAUAGGGCU